RNAcentral lists this ribosomal RNA (497 nucleotides) under uncultured bacterium. Its description in RNAcentral is "partial 16S ribosomal RNA". It matches the Rfam family "Bacterial small subunit ribosomal RNA", at positions 28 to 507 of the family's 1533-position model. The record is from RNAcentral.
GAUGAACGCUGGCGGCGUGCCUAAUACAUGCAAGUCGAGCGAACGGACGAGAAGCUUGCUUCUCUGAUGUUAGCGGCGGACGGGUGAGUAACACGUGGAUAACCUACCUAUAAGACUGGGAUGACUUCGGGAAACCGGAGCUAAUACCGGAUAAUAUUUUGAACCGGAUGGUUCAAAAGUGAAAGACGGUCUUGCUGUCACUUAUAGAUGGAUCCGCGCUGCAUUAGCUAGUUGGUAAGGUAACGGCUUACCAAGGCAACGAUGCAUAGCCGACCUGAGAGGAUGAUCGGCCACACUGGAACUGAGACACGGUCCAGACUCCUACGGGAGGCAGCAGUAGGGAAUCUUCCGCAAUGGGCGAAAGCCUGACGGAGCAACGCCGCGUGAGUGAUGAAGGUCUUCGGAUCGUAAAACUCUGUUAUUAGGGAAGAACAUAUGUGUAAGUAACUGUGCACAUCUUGACGGUACCUAAUCAGAAAGCCACGGCUAACUACGUG